GAGUUUGAUCUUGGCUCAGAUUGAACGCUGGCGGCAUGCCUUACACAUGCAAGUCGAACGGCAGCACGGGAGCUUGCUCCUGGUGGCGAGUGGCGAACGGGUGAGUAGUGCAUCGGAACGUAUCCUGGAGUGGGGGAUAACGUAGCGAAAGUUACGCUAAUACCGCAUAUUCUGUGAGCAGGAAAGCGGGGGACCUUCGGGCCUCGCGCUCUUGGAGCGGCCGAUGUCGGAUUAGCUAGUUGGUGAGGUAAAGGCUCACCAAGGCGACGAUCCGUAGCAGGUCUGAGAGGAUGAUCUGCCACACUGGAACUGAGACACGGUCCAGACUCCUACGGGAGGCAGCAGUGGGGAAUUUUGGACAAUGGGGGCAACCCUGAUCCAGCCAUGCCGCGUGAGUGAAGAAGGCCU
Molecule: ribosomal RNA, 408 nt
Filed under: bacterium enrichment culture clone ALO1_GLFRUDD03G2XWA
Lineage: Bacteria
Description: bacterial SSU rRNA
Rfam family: Bacterial small subunit ribosomal RNA
Source: RNAcentral